RNAcentral lists this ribosomal RNA (203 nucleotides) under uncultured bacterium. RNAcentral describes it as "partial 16S ribosomal RNA". It matches the Rfam family "Bacterial small subunit ribosomal RNA", at positions 355 to 583 of the family's 1533-position model. The record is from RNAcentral.
UGGGGAAUUUUGGACAAUGGGGGCAACCCUGAUCCAGCCAUGCCGCGUGCGGGAAGAAGGCUUCGGGUUGUAAACCGCUUUUGUCAGGGAAGCGGUACCUGAAGAAUAAGCACCGGCUAACUACGUGCCAGCAGCCGCGGUAAUACGUAGGGUACAAUCGUAAGAGGUAAUUAGGGGACGUAAAGCGUGCGGAGGUGGUUGUG